UUGCUUUUUGAAGAAUAUUUAUUGACAUGGGAAAAUGCUCACAAUAUGUUAAAGAAAGCAGGAUACAAAUCUGUAAAUACAGUAUGAUCCCAGUCUUGUAAUAAAAUAAAUUAUAUAUGCAUAGAAAAUAUACAGGACAGAAAUACACUAAAACAUUAACAGUGAUUAUCUUGGUGGUGGGAUUUGGGUGAAUUAACUUUAAUUUUCUGCAUUUUCCAAACUUUUCAUAAUGAACAUAUAUUACUUUCAUAAUGGGAGAGGUGGUGGUGGGGAGAAGUCCAUACAGGUGACACCUUACACCUAGUACUGGGAGGCAGUGAGACUGAUGUGGUAAGGGGAUACACUGUACUUGUACCGCCUCGGGCAGUGUCACUGUUUAUAAAGGAGGGAAGUAAACACCUGUCUCCCCCCUCCCAGGACCACUGGGUAUGGGAAAGGGGCCCCAAGCAUCUGGCAGUUGUUACUCUACAGCAGCAGCUCUAGUAGCUUAUUUUAGUACAUGCUCACAUGCCCCGGAGCAGCAGGGCUGUGGACGUGAGGGACCAAAGAGCACGGAUGGCCACUGUACUCUCCUCAUCCCUACUGUGGGCCACCUCGGCAAGCAUCUGUCUGGGGGAAGUCUGCAGUCCUGGUCUCUCACCUAAAGAAUUCCAGGUCCUUGUUUGAAAUCCAGCCCUGAGCAACUCUUCCACUCACAGAUCAAUUCCAGGUUACCUCCCUGCUUACAAAAUUCCUUAAACUGGUUCUUCUGAAAUGGUUAUUGCUUAAAAUGGCCUGAGAAUGCCUGCCCUCCAGCACUCCAGGGUCCUAGGAGGCAUGGUGAGGACCCAGGUGGUCAGGGUGGUGAGGGGAGGGAGGGAGGUGCCAGACUUGGACUCCUGUUUGCUAGGACACUGGGAAACUGAGGCCUGCCAGAGAAGGUCUCUAACAAGAGAUGAGAUGAGGUUACAUGUCAUUAGAGACCUGAAAAGCCCAGCAGGUAGAAAGCACUUAGCAGAUGUUCGUUCUCUUUCCAGGGGCAAAAUGAGGUCCUUCCACUCCCCCUGCAAAUGCUCUCUUCAAAAACAAAGCUUAGUGCUUAGUACCCAGUGCAGGGGAAACUCAAAGUGAAACUCUUGAAAGCACAAGAACACAGCUACUUGACCAGGACUGUUCAAACACUUAGCCUGCAUAAGCUGGCAAGAUGCUAUUCCAGUAAACAGAUCUUCAUUUAGGGAAGCUGACACUUAUGAGAAAGCUAUUGGACUGUAGAAAUUAUAAAAAUACUUUAAAAUGCAUUUGUAGAAUGAAGUAACAAAAAUACUUUGUCUAAACUUUUUUUCACAUAAUCUAAAUUUAUGAAUUGCCAAAUUUCAUUUUAUUUACUGUUAAAAAUGGGCAACCUACCACUUUUCCAACUAUCUGGAUGAAGAUCCUAAAGGGAGUGUAUUGUAUUCUUUCUAGCCUUUUAUUCUGGAGUAUUUUGGAUUUACUUAGGUUUUUAAAAAUAAAUUCUGGGUUCUCUCUUUGAGAAUUUGUCAAUGGGCCAUAUUGUAGGUACAGAUCCUUCUGGGCCAACCAGUGUCCUCUGGGAACCAGGCCGUCCCAGAUUUGCGAUGCCUGGUGUAGAUCUCCUCCUCCUCCCUACCUUCCUAUCUGGUUUUCAGCUGGCCUUCAGUGGCUCUUGGUAGACCUGCCUUCUAUCAAGCAGCCGUCUCCUCUGCCAUUUUUUUUUUUUAAUGGGCUUGAAAGCCAGAUAACCUGCUAGAAACAUAUGCAAAUUUUAGUAAAGAGGUGAAAAGAGAGAUUCUUGAGGAUCUCUCCUAUGAGCAAGAGACUCUGGUGAUCUCUUUUGGCAGCUCAAAGGCCUUUAAAAAGUCCAUCUUUGAACAGUUGUUUUGUCAGAGAAGGGAUCUCUGAAUAAAUGACAUUUUCCACUAAUACUCUGUGUAUGUUACCUAUCCUUAAAAGGGCUACUGUGGUAAGGGAGGUAAUGGAUGUGAAAGCACUUUAGAAAAGCAUAAACUCUGAAAUAUUGUUUACCCCAUGUAUCUAUAAAGAAACACACACAGAUGGCUAAAUUGAAUCAACCCCAAUGUUUUAUUUAAUUUAAAGUUUUAAAAGGCAGUGGUUAAGCACAUUAUCUAUGUGUAUAUAUGUAUAUAUGUAUGUAUAUGUAUACAUACAUACAUAUAUAAAAGGAAACCAACCCCUUUCAGCUUUAGCCACUGAUUAGCUAGGCCCACUGUCUAUUGCAGGAUUCAUAUUCUACUUCUUCAUAUGACCAAUUCUAAAAGUAAAAAUAAACAGCCUUAAUCAGUUUAACAGUAACUAUCUGUGUUUCUUUUUUUUUUUAAAUAAAUAAAGUUACCAUUAAACUGAUCACAUACGGUAGAAAGUAGAACACACACACAAGCGCACACACAGUCCCCAGUUUAAAACCUGUGACAUAUGAAUGACCUAUAUGUACAAAUGGGUGCUGCUGACUUCCUCCAUCCCUGGUGGAGGCCACGAGAGAACUCCCAGUGUGCCGGGAGGCCCCAUCCCCUCUGCUGGGUUGGAGGAUGUGUGUUCCUGGCACCCCGAGUUAGACCUCAGAAUGCAUGCUCCCAUGCAAUGAUACAGAUGGGGGUUCAGUUCUAUGCUACUAGUGUUAAGGUACAUAAGGGAAUAAAUAGGCAUCUGUAGCUGCCUCAGAACUAAACCAUCAUUUAUAACCCUUUAUAGGGAGAAAUGUAUUCUGAAGUUCUCGAUAAGGGACUUACAAACUUUUAGAAUGUAAUCUGUUUGUAAGUCUGGGGCUGUGUGUGUGCAUGUUGUGUGUGCAUUUCCACAUAUUUGUACAAAAUUGAAAUGAAGAGUGGGGCCAGGUUUAUGGAGCAGCUGCUUGGCUUCCAUGUAGUCGGUUCUGAUCUAAUAGGUCACUUGCCUCAGCCCUUAGCAGCUUGCUCUGCUGCCGACGCGCCUCCGUCUGCUGGAGAGAUUCAGAAGGGGCAGCUUUCACAAGCGAGAGGAAGGCCACGACUCAAUCUUCUAAGAACCUUGGCAAACAGAACGGC
Molecule: long non-coding RNA, 3038 nt
Filed under: Canis lupus familiaris (dog)
Lineage: Eukaryota; Metazoa; Chordata; Mammalia; Carnivora; Canidae
Description: lncRNA (ENSCAFG00000051217.1)
Source: RNAcentral